RNAcentral lists this ribosomal RNA (497 nucleotides) under uncultured bacterium. Its description in RNAcentral is "partial 16S ribosomal RNA". It matches the Rfam family "Bacterial small subunit ribosomal RNA", at positions 28 to 507 of the family's 1533-position model. The record is from RNAcentral.
GAUGAACGCUGGCGGCGUGCCUAAUACAUGCAAGUCGAGCGAACGGACGAGAAGCUUGCUUCUCUGAUGUUAGCGGCGGACGGGUGAGUAACACGUGGAUAACCUACCUAUAAGACUGGGAUAACUUCGGGAAACCGUAGCUAAUACCGGAUAAUUUUUUGAACCGCAUGGUUCAAAAGUGAAAGACGGUCUUGCUGUCACUUAUAGAUGGAUCCGCGCUGCAUUAGCUAGUUGGUAAGGUAACGGCUUACCAAGGCAACGAUGCAUAGCCGACCUGAGAGGGUGAUCGGCCACACUGGAACUGAGACACGGUCCAGACUCCUACGGGAGGCAGCAGUAGGGAAUCUUCCGCAAUGGGCGAAAGCCUGACGGAGCAACGCCGCGUGAGUGAUGAAGGUCUUCGGAUCGUAAAACUCUGUUAUUAGGGAAGAACAUAUGUGUAAGUAACUGUGCACAUCUUGACGGUACCCAAUCAGAAAGCCACGGCUAACUACGUG